CAAAAGAGUACUUAAAAAAAGCAUUCGACCUACACUCGAACGAUAUUGCAUUAAUCUUUUUGA
This 63-nucleotide transfer RNA is filed under the name Crotalus sp. AAL-2011. RNAcentral's name for it is "tRNA-Val". Lineage: Eukaryota; Metazoa; Chordata; Lepidosauria; Squamata; Viperidae. The record is from RNAcentral.